Molecule: ribosomal RNA, 1498 nt
Filed under: Limosilactobacillus fermentum
Lineage: Bacteria; Bacillati; Bacillota; Bacilli; Lactobacillales; Lactobacillaceae
Description: bacterial SSU rRNA
Rfam family: Bacterial small subunit ribosomal RNA
Source: RNAcentral
GAUGAACGCCGGCGGUGUGCCUAAUACAUGCAAGUCGAACGCGUUGGUCCAAUUGAUUGAUGGUGCUUGCACCUGAUUGAUUUUGGUCGCCAACGAGUGGCGGACGGGUGAGUAACACGUAGGUAACCUGCCCAGAAGCGGGGGACAACAUUUGGAAACAGAUGCUAAUACCGCAUAACAGCGUUGUUCGCAUGAACAACGCUUAAAAGAUGGCUUCUCGCUAUCACUUCUGGAUGGACCUGCGGUGCAUUAGCUUGUUGGUGGGGUAAUGGCCUACCAAGGCGAUGAUGCAUAGCCGAGUUGAGAGACUGAUCGGCCACAAUGGGACUGAGACACGGCCCAUACUCCUACGGGAGGCAGCAGUAGGGAAUCUUCCACAAUGGGCGCAAGCCUGAUGGAGCAACACCGCGUGAGUGAAGAAGGGUUUCGGCUCGUAAAGCUCUGUUGUUAAAGAAGAACACGUAUGAGAGUAACUGUUCAUACGUUGACGGUAUUUAACCAGAAAGUCACGGCUAACUACGUGCCAGCAGCCGCGGUAAUACGUAGGUGGCAAGCGUUAUCCGGAUUUAUUGGGCGUAAAGAGAGUGCAGGCGGUUUUCUAAGUCUGAUGUGAAAGCCUUCGGCUUAACCGGAGAAGUGCAUCGGAAACUGGAUAACUUGAGUGCAGAAGAGGGUAGUGGAACUCCAUGUGUAGCGGUGGAAUGCGUAGAUAUAUGGAAGAACACCAGUGGCGAAGGCGGCUACCUGGUCUGCAACUGACGCUGAGACUCGAAAGCAUGGGUAGCGAACAGGAUUAGAUACCCUGGUAGUCCAUGCCGUAAACGAUGAGUGCUAGGUGUUGGAGGGUUUCCGCCCUUCAGUGCCGGAGCUAACGCAUUAAGCACUCCGCCUGGGGAGUACGACCGCAAGGUUGAAACUCAAAGGAAUUGACGGGGGCCCGCACAAGCGGUGGAGCAUGUGGUUUAAUUCGAAGCUACGCGAAGAACCUUACCAGGUCUUGACAUCUUGCGCCAACCCUAGAGAUAGGGCGUUUCCUUCGGGAACGCAAUGACAGGUGGUGCAUGGUCGUCGUCAGCUCGUGUCGUGAGAUGUUGGGUUAAGUCCCGCAACGAGCGCAACCCUUGUUACUAGUUGCCAGCAUUAAGUUGGGCACUCUAGUGAGACUGCCGGUGACAAACCGGAGGAAGGUGGGGACGACGUCAGAUCAUCAUGCCCCUUAUGACCUGGGCUACACACGUGCUACAAUGGACGGUACAACGAGUCGCGAACUCGCGAGGGCAAGCAAAUCUCUUAAAACCGUUCUCAGUUCGGACUGCAGGCUGCAACUCGCCUGCACGAAGUCGGAAUCGCUAGUAAUCGCGGAUCAGCAUGCCGCGGUGAAUACGUUCCCGGGCCUUGUACACACCGCCCGUCACACCAUGAGAGUUUGUAACACCCAAAGUCGGUGGGGUAACCUUUUAGGAGCCAGCCGCCUAAGGUGGGACAGAUGAUUAGGGUG